CAAGAUGUAGCUUAAGUAAAGCAUCUGGCCUACACCCAGAAGAUUUCAUAUUAAACUGAACAUCCUGA
RNAcentral lists this transfer RNA (68 nucleotides) under Prionodon linsang (banded linsang). RNAcentral's name for it is "tRNA-Val". It matches the Rfam family "tRNA". Rfam says of the family: Transfer RNA (tRNA) molecules are approximately 80 nucleotides in length. Their secondary structure includes four short double-helical elements and three loops (D, anti-codon, and T loops). Lineage: Eukaryota; Metazoa; Chordata; Mammalia; Carnivora; Viverridae. The record is from RNAcentral.